AUGCACGCUGGCGGCGUGCUUAGCACAUGCAAGUCGAACGGAAAGGCUCCUGCUUGCAGGGGUACUCGAGUGGCGAACGGGUGAGUAACACGUGGGUGAUCUGCCCUGCGCUUCGGGAUAAGCCUGGGAAACUGGGUCUAAUACCGGAUAGGACGAUGGUUUGGAUGCCAUUGUGGAAAGUUUUUCGGUGUGGGAUGAGCUCGCGGCCUAUCAGCUUGUUGGUGUGGUAAUGGCCUACCAAGGCGUCGACGGGUAGCCGGCCUGAGAGGGUGUACGGCCACAUUGGGACUGAGAUACGGCCCAGACUCCUACGGGAGGCAGCAGUGGGGAAUAUUGCACAAUGGGCGCAAGCCUGAUGCAGCGACGCCGCGUGGGGGAUGACGGCCUUCGGGUUGUAAACUCCUUUCGCUAGGGACGAAGCGCAAGUGACGGUACCUGGAGAAGAAGCACCGGCUAACUACGUG
This 464-nucleotide ribosomal RNA is filed under the name uncultured bacterium. RNAcentral's name for it is "partial 16S ribosomal RNA". It matches the Rfam family "Bacterial small subunit ribosomal RNA", at positions 29 to 507 of the family's 1533-position model. The record is from RNAcentral.